AUGAUAAGAACCUUCCAGAAACUUCUGCAACCAACCCGCGGACCCCACUGGGCUUCUACUCCCCUCCGCCGCUUCUGCGGCCGCGCCCCGGCCCCGCCUGCGCCCGCCGGCGGCGACAUCUUCCAAUGGAACUCCGCCAUCACCUCCCACCUCCGCGGCGGCAGGGUGGCCGCCGCGCGCCGACUGUUCGACGAAAUGCCUGAGCGGAACGUGUUCACGUGGAACUGCAUGAUCUCGGGCUUCGUCCAGAACCGGAUGCUCGCGGACGCCCGCAGGGCGUUUGACGCGAUGCCCGCGAGGAACUCCGUCUCAUGGGCGGCGCUCCUGACCGGCUACGCGCGGAGCGGGAGGGUCGUCGAGGCCAGGGAGCUCUUCGACCGGAUGCCGGACCGGAACGUGGUCUCCUGGAACGCGAUGAUGUCGGGCUACAUGCGCAACGGGAUGGUCGAGCAGGCGCGCGAGCUGUUCGACGCGAUGCCGUCGAGGAACGACGUCUCGUGGCUGACCAUGAUCUCCGGUUACAUCAGGAGGCGGUGUGUCCAUGAGGCGAGGGAGCUCUUUGACCGCGCGCCUUCCCCGUCGACGUCUGUCUGCAACGCGUUGCUGUCGGGUUACGUCGCGCUUGGUUGCUUGAAGGACGCCGAGGAGCUGUUUGUCCGGAUGCAGAGACGGAACCCUGUCUCGUGGAAUGUUAUGAUCACAGGCUACGCGCGGGCUGGGAGGAUGCAGGUUGCGCAGAGCCUGUUUGAUGAGAUGCCCCAGAAGGACACGAUAUCUCGGACAGCCAUUAUGCGUGGGUACUUGCAGAAUGGAGACGUUGAUGCUUCGUGGAAGGUGUUCGAGGAAAUGCCUGAUCGGGAUGCUAUUGCUUGGAACACAAUGAUCGGUGGUUUCGUGCAGAGCGAGAGGGUGGAUGAUGCGUUGAGAUUGUUUGCUGAGAUGCCAAAUAGGGAUCUCGUAUCUUGGAACACGAUCUUGCAAGGCUAUGUUCAACAAGGGGACAUGGCUAGUGCAAAUACCUGGUUUAGAAGAAUGCCAGAGAAAGAUGAGACCUCGUGGAACACAUUGAUCUCUGGGUACAAAGAUGAAGGAGCACUAGCUUUGCUGUCAGAAAUGACCAGAGGAGGACUCAGGCCAAACCAAGCCACUUUGAGCGUUGUUAUUUCUAUCUGCGCCUCUCUUGUUGCGCUCGGAUGUGGAAAAAUGGUGCAUCUCUGUGCAGUCAAAACUGGCUUUGAGCGUGAUGCUUUGGUAAUGAGCUCAUUGAUAUCUAUGUACUCAAAGUGUGGGCUAAUCGCUGAAGCCUCACAAGUUUUCGAAUUGAUGUUGCAGCGAGAUACAGUGACAUGGAAUGCCAUGAUUGCGACAUAUGCUUAUCAUGGUAUGGCUGCUGAAGCUCUGAAACUCUUUCACAAGAUGACUGAAGAUGGGUUUCGUCCAGACCAUGCAACCUUUCUUAGUGUAUUGUCUUCUUGUGCACACAAAGGCUAUUUAUAUGAAGGUUGUCGUUAUUUUAGAAGCAUGCAAGAAGAUUGGAACUUGAUUCCUAGGUCUGAUCACUAUUCCUGUAUGGUUGAUCUCCUAGGAAGAUCUGGUUUUGUACACCAAGCUUAUGCAUUCACAAGAAAAAUCCCAUCUGACCUUCAAGUAAAUGCAUGGGAGACACUGUUUAGCGCAUGUAAUGCUCACGGAGAUGUUCAGCUUGGAGAAGUCAUUGCAAAGAAUGUCCUUCAGGCGCAACCUUCUGAUGGAGGAAUGUAUACACUCUUGGCAAACUUAUAUGCUGCCAAAGAGAUGUGGAGCAGUGCUGCCAAUGUUAGAGGAUUCAUGAAAGAGCAGGGCUUAAAGAAGGAGACAGGGUGUAGUUGGGUUGAGCUGAAGGGGGAGGUUGUUUCCUUCUCAUCAAAUGACAAUACACAUCCCCUAAUUGAUCAGAUAUGCCAGGAGGUUGAUAACCUUUCUGUCAUGAUAGAAGGGGCGAUGUGAUAAGGUUAUGAAAAAUGGAACUCUAGCAGUCUGUGAGAUCAGUUGACGGCACUGUUGGCUCCAGAGUCCAAAAUUUGGGAAAACACAGUCUUUUUUUGUCAGGGGCCGGGGGUACGCCCAAAUGAGUUCUUGAAAGGAUAGGAUAGUGAUGUGUUGGAGCCUGUUCAAUUCUUUAGCGAUGACCCCUUCCAAGAUCGUAAUCAAGAAGUUAAAAACAAGACAGUGAGGUACUGGAGCCAUCAACUCUGCAUUAGUGGUAUUCCUUUAAAUUUCAUUCAGACAUUCAUUUCUCAGCAAAGAGUCAGAGUUUCUCAGCAAGACUACAUUGGCCCACUAUAUCAAUAUUUUAGGAUAAACCAGAUAAGAAAAGUCUGCAUUGUCUUAUCAGCCAAUAGCAGCAUAUGCAUACAACUAGAUGUCGCUGUCAUGACAGGCAAGAUAUUUUUCCCAUCACAGCAAUUGGAGACCACACAGUAAUGCCUUGCCAAACAGACUGGUACUUCGAUAGCAAUUUCCCUCCACUACCACACACUGGUACUCUCUCCCUCUCCCCCUACCCCUCUCGCCCUCCGUCUGAACCACCCACCCCCAGGCUUCAAUGGCCAUGGCAACCAAUUAUUCAAUCUCCAACGCACCAUUUACCUUUAAACCAUCUGCCCCGCAUAAACAAGUUCCAAAUUGGAGAUUUCCUACAAUUAGCAGUGGUGAUGGUGGUGGGAGCAUUUUCACUAUAUCAAGGAGGAAUUUAAGAACUUGGUUCCAUGUCUGCGCUGUCACUGGGGACCAGAGCACCCGUGACGUCUUCAGUGCAAAUUUCCCAAGCGAUUACACAGAACUCAUAGUGCAGUGAUUUCAGGCUAAAGAAGCUACAGAAUCAGCUUUUAAGGAUGGAAAACAGCUAUUGGAAAUAGAGUUUCCUACAGCAGGACUACAAUCUGUACCAGGUGAUGGCGAAGGUGGAAUCGAGAUGACAGGAAGCAUGCUUCUCAUUAGAGAAUUUUGCGAUCGCUUCGUACCUGCAGAGAAAGUUACCAGGACCAGAAUUUUCUUCCCUGAGGCAAAAGAGGUUACUUUUGCGAGACAGUCAGCUUUUGAAGGGUGUUCAUUGAAAUUGGAUUACCUAACAAAACCAUCCUUAUUCGAAGAUUUUGGUUUUACAACGAAGGUCAAAAUGGCAGACCGUGUGCGGCCUGAAGACGAGAUAUUCCUUGUGGCUUAUCCCUAUUUCAAUGUCAAUGAAAUGCUUGUAGUGGAAGAGCUUUACAAGGAAGCAGUUCUUAAUACAGAACGGAAAAUGAUUAUCUUCAAUGGAGAACUAGAUCGGAUAAGAAGUGGAUAUUACCCGCCCUUUUUCUAUCCAAAGCUGGGUGAACUUUCCAAGACCUUUCUUCCGAAACUGGAGACCGUAUACUAUAUUCACAAUUUUAAAGGGUCCAAAGGGGGAGUACUUUUCAGGUGUUACCCUGGCCCUUGGAAGGUGCUGAGAAAAGUAGGUGGCAGCUUUGUCUGUUUGCAUGAACAAGAGGAGAUGCCGUCACUGAAAGAAGUGGCCCUCGACAUACUUCCUUCUGCCUAGAAAGUUCCUAGAGUUACCUCAGAGGAAAGGGAAAAUAGAUAUCCUAAAGAAAAUGGGGGAAAAUGAAGCUUUCAGUAAUCAUCCGAGGGAAGCAAAAGUCUGCAAGAGUUCUUUCCCAAAUGUAUAUGCUCUAGAGAUUCAUCAUGGUCUUGUUGUGGAGGACAUAAAAUUUAGGUAGAUAGGGAAUAGUGGAUUGGGGAACGCAUGUAUCUCCAGUAGGCGCAACACUCAUGCCAGGUCAGCUUGUCCUAUCUUGGAAUACUAUGGUGGACCAGAUGAAUGGCCUGACGCACCUGUGGGGAAUUGGAAAAAAAGAACUCAUCAAUUAUAGAUUUUUUUCCUGGGGCU
This 3910-nucleotide ribosomal RNA is filed under the name Triticum aestivum (bread wheat). RNAcentral describes it as "partial small subunit ribosomal RNA". Lineage: Eukaryota; Viridiplantae; Streptophyta; Magnoliopsida; Poales; Poaceae. The record is from RNAcentral.